This 3752-nucleotide long non-coding RNA is filed under the name Marmota monax (woodchuck). The record is from RNAcentral. Lineage: Eukaryota; Metazoa; Chordata; Mammalia; Rodentia; Sciuridae.
CUGAACUCUUUCAGAACUACUAAUAGACAUCAUAAUAUUUUCAUCAUUUUAUCUCCUAACAAGAGCACUCUCCUACUACCACAUUACAGUGGCUGUGAUGACAUUCAGAAAAUUUAGCACUGAUAUAAUACUAUUACCUGACCUACAGUCCUUACUCAAACACUACUUUUAAUUAGGAUGUAUUCUGAUAUCUCUUAACCUAGAAUAGUUCCCCAGCUUUCUCUCUUUCAUAGCAUUAAUAUUUUGAUGAGAAUGUGGAACAACUGAAAUUCUCAAACAAAUGCUGGUAUGAAUGUAAAAUGGUAUGGGCACUUUGGAAAACUGUUUGACAAUUUUAUACAAAAUUAAAUAUUUUCCUUUUCUAUGACCCAGUCAUUAUACUUCUAAGUAUUUUCCAAGAGAAAUGAAAACAUGUGUACACAAAAAAUAUGAAAUAUGCAUAAGGGUUAUAUUUAUAGUAGUAAAAAUAGACACAAUACAUAUAUCCAAUAACAUCCAAAUGGAUAAAAAUUUUGUUUGCAUUUAUACUUGGAAUACUACACAGCAAUAAUUUUAAAAGAAUAAAUUGCCAAUGUACUCAGCUAUAAAGAUGAAAUGUUAAAAGCAUUAUAAUGAUGAGUGAUACUAAUCAGAAGAGAGUAUCUACCAUACUAUUCCAUUUAUCUGAAGUUCUAUAGAUGAAAAAAGUAAUAUAAAUUCAUAGAAAUAACUUGUGAUUACUAGUAGGGAAAUGGCUAGAAAGAGGGACAGAAAGCUUUCUGGAGCAAUUAAAAUGUCUUAUUUUUACAUUUGUACUUUAAUUGUACAAUUAACAUCCACAUAUCCCUGUAUGUAAAUUUUACCUCAAUUUUUAAAGAGUGUAAAUUAGACUAUGAGCAACAUGAAGACAAGAACUUUGUUUUGUACACUGCUUUGUCUUAGCACCUAGCCAAAGCCCAGGAUAGUCAACAGGAAUUCAAUAAAUGUUGAAACAAAAAAGAAGCAGGCCUUGAAAUCAUCUUUAUCAAUGAUUGCCAAAUGCAUAUUGGAGAUUUUAACUCAACCCUAUGUAAUAUGGGUAUAACAUAUAUUUGAAACCUUAUUUAUCCUCUUCUUCUGUUUCUAAGAAUCCUAUAUAUCAAUCAUAAGAGUUUUGAAAUUUAAAAAUGGCUAUUUCAAUACAGACUUUUCUGAAUCUAAAACUGCCACUUUCCCUGCUUUUGCAUACUGUCUCCACUUUAUGUAAAUAAGCCUCUAGGAUUACAGAAUAGAUUGGCUAAAAGUGAGGUGUUGUGUCCAUGCAGAGUUAUGUUGAUAUGCUUUUAGCAAUAAUAUAUUUAUGUGAAUCCAAGUGGUCAUUUCCAACAGGUAGUUGAAUAUGGAGUCUUAAGAGAAAAGUCUGGGAUGUAUAAAUGAUUUUGGCUAGCACAGUUUUGACAUAUAGUUGGCUUCCAAUAAAUAUUUGUUGGAUGAGUAAGCAAAUGAAUUGUGAAUUUUGGAGUCUAGCAAAUACAAUUGAUAGCAUUUCCUUUCAGUGUUCUUCUGUUCAUAUAUAUCAAUAAAAUAAUGUUCUUGAAAGUCACAUUUAUUUCUAUUUUAUUUUGAGAAAGUAAUGUUACUUUAUGGGAGAAUAUUUAUAAAGCAGCAAUGAAAUGCCAUCAUGUGACCAAAGACAGAACUACAGCAUAAAUUAAGUUAACAAGGGAGAGUGUGGCAAAGAAGGCCUUCCAUAGAGAAGGGAAGAUUUUUAUUCAGGAUUCAUGGAGGUCCAACACUUAUACUAGAUUCUUCUCAGAAGUAAGAUAUAAAAGAAACAAAUGAGGAAUUAAUACCUUUAUCUUUUUUUGGUGUGGGGGAUAGAACCUAGGGCCUCCUGCAUGCCCCAGCCUCACAAAUGAGGCAUUGAAAAAGGCAACAGCCCCUAUGUCAACUAAAGAAAAAGGAAAUGGAAUUAUGCAAUUUUCAACCUUAAGAUAUUUGAGGGGGGGGGGUACCAGGGAUUGAACUCUGGGGCACUCAACCACUGAGCCACAUCCCGCCCUAUUUUGUAUUUUAUUUAGAGACAAAGUCUUGUCUUGGCACCUCCUUUUUGCUGAGGCUGACUUUGAGCUCACCAUCCUCCUGCCUCAGCCUCCUGAGCCACUAGGGUUACAAGCAUGUGCCACCAUACCCAGAAAGAUAUUUUCUAAAGAUCUAUGUUAUGCUUUUUAUCUGAAAUGUUCCCUAAAGGCUCAUGUGUUGAAAGUUUGAUCUCCAAUGCAGUAAUGUUCAGAGGUGGGACAUUUUGGAAAGUGAUUAGAUCAUGAGAACUUUUAUCAAUGGAUUAAUUCAUCAAUGGAUUCAUAUUUAUUUGGAUCCAAGUGGUCAUUUCCAGUAGGUUGUGGAAUAUGAAGUCUUGAGAGAAAAGUCUGGGAUGUAUAAAUGAUUUUGGUGAAUGGAGUAUUAGGAGGUGAUGAGAACUGUAGGAGGUGGGAACUAUGUGAAGGGAGUGGUUCUUUGAAGGCAUGCCCUUGGGGACUAUAUCUUGUCCCUAGACCCCUUUCUUUCUUCCAUUCUCUCUCAUCGCCCCCCCCCCUCUUUCUCUCUCUCUCCUGACUGUCAUGAGGAGAAUAGCUUACCUUCCCCAUGCUCUUCCUCCAUUAUGUUCUGUCUUGCAUCUGGUCAAAAGCAAUGGAGUCAAGUGACCAUGGACUGAAACCAUGAGCCAAAAUAAAUCUUUCUUACUCUAUGUUUAUUUCCCCAACUAUUUUGUCACAGUGAUAGAAAGCUGAUUAAAACACAUACUCACUGAAAAAAAUUAAAACUGAAAUACAUAGAAGAAUAAAGAUGAAGCUAUAAAUUUCUAAUAAAAAUAAUCUAAAAUAUUCACUUUACAUAAUUUGCCAAUUAUCCUUAACUUGUGUAUGAGUGUGUGUGUGUGAGUGAUAGCUAACAUUUUCAUGAAACAGUAUGCCAAGAACAGCUUUCUAUCAAAACUACUCUAAGAUUUCAUCUCACUCUAGUCUGAGUGGCAACUAUUAAGAAUGCAAACAACAAUUAGUGUUGGCGAGGAUGUGGGGAAAAAGGCACACUCAUACACUGCUGGUAGGACUGCAGACUGGGUGCAGCCAAUAUGGAAAGCAGUAUGGAGAUUCCUUGGAAAGCUGGGAAUGGAACCACCACUUGACCCAGCUAUCCCACUCCUCGGUCUAUACCCAAAGGACUUAAAAGCAGCAUACUACAGGGACACAGCCACAUCAAUGUUUAUAGCAGCACAAUUCACAAUAGCUAAACUGUGGAGCCAACCUAGAUGCCCUUCAGUAGAUGAAUGUAUAAGAAACGUGGCAUUUUACACAAUGGAAUAUUACUCAGAAAUAAAAGAGAAUAAAAUAAUGGCAUUUGCAGGUAAAUGAAUCGAAUUGGAGGAGAUAAUGCUAAGUGAAGUUAGCCAAUCCCAAUAAAACAAAUGCCUAAUGGUUUCUCUGAUAUAAAGAGGCUGAUUCAUAAUGGAGUUGCAGGGGGGAGCAUGGGAGGAAUAGACAAACUCUAGAUAGGGCAGAGGGGAGUGAGGGGAAGGGAGGGGGCAGGGGAGUAGGGAAGAUGGUGGAAUGAGAAGGACAUCAUUACCUAAGUACAUGUAUAAAGACACGAAUAAUGUGACUGUGUACAACCAGAGAUAUGAAAAAUUGUGCUCAAUGUGUGUAAUAUGAAUUGUAAUGAAUUCUGCUGUCAUACACAACAAAUUAAAAUUAAAAAGUGUAAUCAUAAAAUAGUAUCAGAUUUGUAAGUUAUAA